GGGGGGGGGGUGAGUGGGGAGACCGUAAAAAUAGUAAGCGAAUAAAAUGGAUGAGUUCUUGCUCCAUGGGAUUAAGGACUGUAAAGACAACACUCCCAGCAGAGACAUUCAGCACUAAGGCCAGUGAGGUUAAGGUCCAUUUGGUGAAUUGUGAACAUCAGAACAGCAGCUCUGUAACGUAGAUGGUGUUGGUGCAUGGAAUCAAACCAGUGUUUUAUCAGCUACUGGAAGCCUCAGCAGCUACAGAAGUGAUGUUGAUGAACUUCAUCGAUCCCAAAGUUCUUUAGUGACGAUGAUGUUCAGGGCAAUGGGACAAAUCCUGGUGAAUAUUGUAGCAGAAAUCAGGACUCUCAGGACUCUUCUUCUCCUGCUGUGCUGUUUACUGUGUGAAGCUGGAGACGAGACGGUCAAACUGCAGGAAGUGGAAGGAACCACUAUAACUCUCCAUACUGGGAUAACUGGGAUUCAGAGGGAUGCUAUGAUUCUGUGGAUUUAUCGACCUGAGAAAGCAGAGGAAAAUAUAUUGAUUAGUGACCUGUUUAAAGGAGAAACUGUUACAGACUUCAGAGAGAGAUUUAAAGAGCGACUGCAGCUGGACAGAAACAGUGGAGCUUUAACCAUCAGGAACAUCAGCAGAACUGAUUCUGGAGUUUAUUUAUUACACGUCAUCACUGGAAGUGUCUCAUCUAGGACUUUCAGUGUCAGUGUUUAUGCUCCAGUAUCAACUCCAGUAAUAAUAAAUGAAAGAGGAAAGCGAAGUGUGAUUUCCACAGAGUCGUGUUUCCUCCUGUGUUCUGUGGAGAAUGGAGAAGAUGUGAAGUUAUCCUGGUACAGAGAGAAUGAGAGAAUCUCCAUCACCAAUAACACAGAUCUCAGUGUUCCCCUCAAUCUCCCACUUCAAAUACAACACAAUGACACUAACACUUACAUCUGUGUGUCUGCAAACCCUGUCAGCAAUAAAACAACUUCUCUCAUCAUCACACAGCUCUGUGACGUCUCAGAUAAACCUGAUCCUUUACUGCUUGCUGCUCUGAUAUCAGCUGGAGUUUUUGUGUUAUUAAUUAUAAUAUUAAUAACUUUGUGGAUUCGGCUGAAAAAGAAAAAAACAAAAGGCAAGUAAUGAAUCUUUCUGUUCAUGUGUUUAGUUCAGUUUUUAUAUUUGUUCAGUUCAGUAACAUUUAAUCUGAUUAUUUUUUCUUUAUUUACAGAAAUUCCUGAGGAAUUUACUUCCUCUGAUGCGAAUAUCAUCACUCACAGUUCAGAGAGAGAUAAAGAGGAAGAAAACUCCACAGUAACGGAUGAUGAGACCCUGUGGUGUAUUCAGACGUGAGGAGAUCCAAAUAAUUCAACACAUCUCUAUAUGAUAUAAAAUAUUUUAUGUUUUUGCACUUUUCAUGUUCUGUCAUACGUCAGAGUGACGCACUCGAGGGAAAGCUUUCUUCACUUUAGCUUCACUUUCUUCGCUUUAGCUUCACUUUAUCUUCACAUGCUUAUAGACAUAGACAAUUGGCUAGUGUUGCUGUGAAUGACCAGAGACAGAGUAUAUGCCCCUCUCACCCCGAGAGCAUGGCCAGAUUUGCCCUCUUAACUGGACACCUUGAUGAUGAAGGUACAGGAGCACUUUUUGUGUCUGGUUCCUCUCAAGUUUAUCACUCACGUUGUCUCAGGUUGCUUUUCCUUCCCUCUGCUGCCUUGCCCUACCUCAUUAGUGAUGAAUGUUAAGUGUCCAGACUUUCUCUACAGACUUGUGUAAUAUGGUUCAAAUAUAUAAUAUAAUGUCUUCCUGAUGUUUUACAAACUAAAGUGCAAUUCUGUAAAAAUUGCUGCUUCCACCUUGUGGUCAAAAUCAGUAUUUUACACAACACUAAAAAUGUGCUGAUAUUUUACAUUGUUACGGCCUUUUUUAUGUUUGUUCUCUGUUUUGGGAGGUGUCUGUGUUUCUGUGCAGGAUGAACACCGAUUGGUUACUGAAGGUUACCUGGUGCCACGCCCUGCCUGGUCAGCUGACUCCCUGCAGCCUAUAAAAGCCACCACCACCUCUUCCUGCUUUAGCUUUUUGGCUCACUUGCUGUGUUUUGUGUUACUUGUUUGCUGCUAGUUAGUAUUGUGUGUGAGUUGUCUGUGAUAUUAGUGUGUUUAGAUAUUCCUAUUAAUGCUGAUUAUUGCCUGUUCUUUUGGCUUUGACUCUGGAUUGCAUGUUUGUUCUUAUUAGCUAACCUGCAAAUAUGUGAAUAUAGUAUUAUUGGGACAGCAGGGAGACGGAUGCCAUUUUUGUUUGAACCUUUUAUUGGUUGUGUUUUUGUACAGGGAGUUAGGGAAGGAAUUGUGUUCCUUUUUUUGUUUGUUUGCACAGUAGGGAAUUUAAAGGGUACAACAAUUAGUUGUUUCUGUUAGUUAUUGUGGCCUUGUCGGCUCCUGAAGACAUAACCCCAGUUGUACAUGUGAAAUUUGUUAUUCUCAUUAAAAAUAUUGUUUAUUCCGUUA
This is an RNA transcript of Tachysurus fulvidraco (yellow catfish), 2484 nucleotides long. It is a transcript of the gene named CD48 antigen-like, with no coding region annotated. The record is from RefSeq and is a predicted model, not a curated record. NCBI's taxonomy places the organism in Eukaryota, Metazoa, Chordata, Actinopteri, Siluriformes, Bagridae. The transcript has 7 exons.